AAGUCGUAACAAGGUUUCCGUAGGUGAACCUGCGGAAGGAUCAUUACUGAAGAAAUGGUAGUGGGUUGAGCUGACUCUGAGGAGUAUGUGCUUGCCUCUAUCGAUUUUUCUACCCUCCACUGUGCACCUAUUGUAGGCUUACAAUAACUCUCAAGGUUCCUUUUCCUUGGAUAGAAGGCUAUGCAAAUUCAGGUUUGCUUGCUUUCGAUUUUGUAAGCCUAUGUCUACACAAACUCAUUUUUAGUUUCACGAAUGUACAUUGUUGAUCUUUUUGAUCGAUAAACUAUAUACAACUUUCAGCAACGGAUCUCUUGGCUCUC
This 320-nucleotide unclassified non-coding RNA is filed under the name air metagenome. RNAcentral describes it as "partial contains small subunit ribosomal RNA, internal transcribed spacer 1, and 5.8S ribosomal RNA". The stretch from base 1 to 46 matches the Rfam family "Eukaryotic small subunit ribosomal RNA", at positions 1786 to 1831 of the family's 1831-position model. The record is from RNAcentral.